This is a long non-coding RNA of Apteryx haastii (Great spotted kiwi), 1693 nucleotides long. NCBI's taxonomy places the organism in Eukaryota, Metazoa, Chordata, Aves, Apterygiformes, Apterygidae. The record is from Ensembl.
GGUGUGCACGGUGCAGCCUGUGUGCGUGCUGCGGUCUGCGCAGGCUGUGUGCGGUGUAUGUGGCGGGGCUGUGCGGGCUGUGCACGGUGCAGGCUGUGCACAGUGCGGGCUGCGCUCACAGCGUGGGCUGCGAGUGCGGUGCGCGGUGCGGGCUGUACAGGCUGUGAGGGUGCUGUGGGCUGUGCUCGUGGCACGGGCUGGGUGUUGUGGGUUGUGCGGGCUAUGUCCAGAGUGCCCGGUGCGGGCUGUGCGUUGUGCGCUGCGCAGGCUGCAAGCGCGGUGUGGGCGGCGUGGGCUGUGCCGCGGGGUGUGCUGAGCACAGCAUGGGUGUUGUGGGCUGUGCGCGGUGCAGGCUGUGCGGGCUCCGAGUGUGGUGCGUGCAGCGUGGCGAGUGCGGUGCGCGCGUUGCGGGCUGCAUGUGGGGUGCAGACUACGCGCACGCUGCGAGCCGUGCGUGGUGCGCGCCAUGCGCGCCGUGUGGCCGGUGUGCGGUGCACGGGCUGUGCGAGCCACGUGCGGUGGGUGCUGCGCGAGCCGUGCACGGGGGGGGGGGGGGUUAAAGAAAGCCCUAAAGUACAGUCUCCAAUGCUUGGCAUCUCUGGUAUCACCAGGGCAAAGUGGGUAGAGAAAAUACCAUCAUUUCAUCAAGUAGCAUCUAAUUUUGACUCUUUAUUUAAACUUUCACAGGGUUAAAGAGGGUUUAGUAAAGUUAGAGGAAUAUGAAGUCAUGACAGUGAAGGCACAGCAGUUUCACUGCAAAGAGAAUUGCAUGAAAUGGGACCAAUCAUGUGGCUUUGACAGAAAUUUCUCAGAGGUAGAAGGAGAAAAAGAAAUCUGGGGGAUUCUGCUAUACCUCAGCUUGCUGAGGAAAUGGCAAAGGUAGGAAAAAGAAAAAAAAAUAGACAAAAACAGAAACCAAGUUAAAUUAAAGAGAUUCUAAGUACUUGUGCAAGUAUACCGAGAGAGGAAAAGCAAGGAAAGUACAAGGAAGAAAAAGGUUUUCAAAUCAAUGGGGAAUUAAUUUAGUGAUAGUUCUAACGUUGGAAUAGGGAAAAAAGUGCCCACAGUAAAGCCAUACUGCCAGCACACAGACCAGCUAACGGUCCCAUUGUGGGCAGUAGUUUGGCACUGUUAAUGACAGUCCACAGCCCUGGCUCUUCAGAUGAUAAUCUACAGGAUUUCUGAAAGGUUCUGGGCUGAGAUUCCACUGGUUCCAAAUUGUAGUCAGGCCAUGGGUUGGUUCCACAUCACUUGCGCAACGCACCCCAAGCCCACUGCUCUCAGAAAAACGUGGCACGAAGUUGCUCUGUGGUGUGUAGAAAAGCAUGCCCGGAGCAACCAGCGCUCCCAAGGCGCUGCGGAUGGGGCAGCUUCUUGACGCAGCAGUCAGGCAUCCACUGCGUUCGUGCUGCUCGCUCCCCUUGUGCAGACAACCCGCAACCCCGGGGUUUGCGCGGCCUGGGAAGAACAAGCGGAGAUGCCGUGUGGUGCAGCCCGAGCCCGGGCCACGAGCCUCUGCCGCAGCGCGGGAGCUGCUGCCUGACUCAGGCUGCGGCUUCUCCCUUCCAGAGGCUGUCGUGUUUGUGUGGUCUGCAGCUGCCAAAACCAAGUAAACAUGGGUAAAGCAACAGAGAGAUGAGGCACCCUCUGCUUUCCCUGAUAAUUAAGAGGAUCUUGAAAUGAGAAAGGGAAG